GUGGGGAAUCUUGCGCAAUGGGCGAAAGCCUGACGCAGCCAUGCCGCGUGAAUGAUGAAGGUCUUAGGAUUGUAAAAUUCUUUCACCGGGGACGAUAAUGACGGUACCCGGAGAAGAAGCUCCGGCUAACUUCGUGUCAGCAGCCGCGGUAAUACGAAGGGGGCUAGCGUUGCUCGGAAUUACUGGGCGUAAAGGGCGCGUAGGCGGACAGCUUAGUCAGAGGUGAAAGCCCAGGGCUCAACCUUGGAAUUGCCUUUGAUACUGGCUGUCUUGAGUUUGGGAGAGGUGAGUGGAACUCCGAGUGUAGAGGUGAAAUUCGUAGAUAUUCGGAAGAACACCAGUGGCGAAGGCGACUCACUGGCCCAAUACUGACGCUGAGGCGCGAAAGCGUGGGGAGCAAACAGGAUUAGAUACCCGAGUAGUCC
RNAcentral lists this ribosomal RNA (425 nucleotides) under uncultured bacterium. RNAcentral describes it as "bacterial SSU rRNA". It matches the Rfam family "Bacterial small subunit ribosomal RNA", at positions 354 to 796 of the family's 1533-position model. The record is from RNAcentral.